RNAcentral lists this long non-coding RNA (5156 nucleotides) under Glycine max (soybean). RNAcentral describes it as "long non-coding RNA (GMAX_LNC004289)". The record is from RNAcentral. Lineage: Eukaryota; Viridiplantae; Streptophyta; Magnoliopsida; Fabales; Fabaceae.
CGGAGGUGCUGAUAGAAACUAAUGUUGGGCCUGAUCAAGUGACAAGAAGCAAAAGCCCAAGACCACAAAGGAAGAGGAAAGCACCAUCUUGGGCACGUGAUUAUGUGGGAAUCACAACAACUUUAGAGUAAUGAAAUAUCUGCUGUAAUCCUUGGCUUCUAGCUAGUUUGUUACCAUCUUUUAUGGAUCAGGGCACAUGCGUCAAUUGAUCCCAUAGGCUAGGACAAUAGAGGACUCUUUAUAUUCCUAGGUUGUAAUAAUGACAGCAGCAGAAAAUUAAUAAACUUAUCCUUUCUCUCUUAUUUUCUGGAGCUGAUACUGCUCGAAGGUAUCUUUUCUCUCUACCCUAGCCUAUCAUUGGUGCUUUCACUGUGGAUGAUGGCCCCCCGCACUGAUAAACCUGACAAAUCUGUCGAUGAGGUCAGUGCCCAGUUUCGAGAAAUGCAAUUGUGUCUUGAGGCGGUCACCAAACAACAAACAGAUUUCCAAAAUUUUCUCACCACACAAUUACCCCUUCUCAUACGUGAACAAAUUUCUUCCCAAUCUGCAGCCCAUUCAUCCUCUCCGGUUCGAACCGACCCGCCACAAUCAACCAUCAAAUUACCCAAAAUAACCCUAUCUUCCUUUGAUGGGAAAGAUCCUCUUGACUGGAUCUUCAAGGUUGAACACUAUUUUGACCUAACGGACACACCACCCCCCCGCCGCCUCAUUCUCAUUCCCUUCUUCCUUCAAGGUCCUGCUCUUAGUUGGUUCAAAUGGCUCCAUUCCAACCAUUUACUCACAACUUGGUCGGAAUUUCUCCACGCCCUUGAGGUACGUUUUGGUCCCUCUUCCUUUGCCAACCAUGAAGCUUCUUUGUAUAAGCUUCAACAAACCGGAUCUAUGCUUGAAUACCAACAACAAUUUGAAUCCCUCUCCAACCGAGUCACCGGUCUCUCACCCACCUCCCUUCUCAACUGUUUUCUUUCGGGCCUCCGAAAGGAUAUCCACCAUGAACUCAGCAUACUCAAACCAUCCUCCCUGACCCAAGCAAUCGAUUUAGCUAAACUGAUUGAAACCAAAAACCUAGCCACAAAAUACCCAGCCUCACGGCCAACCAAACCACCAUUCCCUCCAAACAACCCACAACCCUCUCUGUUAGGACCGCCUCCGACCGUUCCGAUUCGUCGCCUCACGCCGGCGGAACAAAACGAGCGCCGCUCUAAAGGGCUCUGUUUCAACUGUGAUGAGAAGUUUCAUGUUGGACAUCGUUGUACAAAGAAACAAUUUCUGAUUAUGCUCAUGACGACAUUGAUGAAGUGGUGGGCUCUCCGACACGUGAUACUGAGCAUCAGAUGGUGGAAUCAUGUCCCUUGCUGUCACCAGCACCCAUGUCACCGCCGUCCUCUCCGGAUUCAUCCUCUCCGGCCGCCGCCGAGCAUUUUCAACUGUCUCAAGCAGCACUGGUGGGACCUCCAUCACCACGCACUCUUCGCGUUCAAGGACGUGUCGGUGAACUUGAAGUUACAGUCCUGAUUGAUUCGGGCAGCUCGCACAACAUUAUGCAGCCCAGAGUAGCGGAAUUCCUCGAUUUGCCUAUGGUAGCUAUCAAGCCAUUCUCAGUUGUGGUGGGUAACGGCGAUUCGAUCACUUGUAGCGGAUUCUGUGCUGAUGUGCCAGUGAACCUCGCUAAGCAAAUGUUUCACAUACCUUUCUUCAUCAUACCAAUUCAUGGCGCAGAUUUGGUUUUGGGGGUGCAGUGGCUGCAAACUCUUGGCUCCUUUCUGUCCGAUUACACCAUUCCAUCCAUCCAGUUCACUUAUAACAACACCCCUAUCACCCUCACCGGUAACACUUCCACUCAACCAUCCUUGGCCACAUUCUCCCAGUACUGCCGCUUUGUGUUUACUGAUGCCAUUUCCUCCGCCCACACCAUAUCUUUUUCCCAAAUUGACUCACCUCCCAUUAAAAUUCCCCCACAUCCAGAAAUUGCUCCCAUCCUCACUAAAUUUGCAUCAGUUUUCUCUAGUCCUCAAGGCUUACCCCCCAACAGACCACUCAACCACCAUAUACACCUCCUACCCCAAGCCAAACCAGUCAACGUUCGACCAUAUCGGUACCCUCAAUUCCAAAAGGAAAUCAUGACUUCGAUGAUUCGAGAUAUGCUGGCAGAAGGGGUUAUACGCCCUAGCACUAGCCCUUUUUCAUCACCGGUUUUGUUGGUACGCAAAAAGGAUGGAACAUGGCGUUUUUGUGUUGAUUACCGCGCCCUUAACAACAUCACGGUGAAAGAUCGUUUUCCUAUUCCCACCAUUGACGAGCUCUUGGAUGAACUCUAUGGAGCCAAGAUUUUCUCCAAGCUUGAUUUACGUUCCGGAUAUCACCAGAUUAGAGUGGCACCGGAGGACUGUUUCAAGACUGCUUUCCGCACUGUUGAUGGGCAUUUUGAGUUCCUAGUGAUGCCAUUUGGGUUAUCCAAUGCACCUUCAACAUUCCAGGCGACGAUGAAUGAGGUUUUUCGCGCAUUUUUGCGAAAAUUCGUGCUAGUAUUUUUUGACGACAUCUUGAUCUACAGUCCAUCAUGGGACACUCAUAUUCAGCACCUACAGCAGGUUUUAGAGCUAUUAGACCAGCAUCAAUUGUUUGCGAAGCUUUCCAAGUGCGAGUUUGCUGUGCCUACUGUUGCAUAUUUAGGCCAUAUUAUCUCUCAGGAGGGAGUAGCUGCUGACCCAGAGAAGCUAAAGGUGGUUCAGUCUUGGCCCCCUCCUCACAACCUCACUGCCCUUCGCGGAUUUUUGGGUUUAACCGGGUUCUAUCGUCGCUUCGUCCGCCAUUAUGCCUCGAUAGCUGAACCAUUAACUUCCUUGCUCAAAACUAAUGCUUUCUGCUGGAAUGAGCGUGCGCUAGAAGCUUUUCAAGCUCUUAAGACGGCUAUGACUACCUUGCCGGUUUUGGGAAUUCCGAACUUUGAUCAAACAUUUGAGGUUACUACCGACGCGUCAAAUUCUGCUGUUGGAGCAGUUUUAUCUCAGCAAUCCCAUCCCAUUGCUUUUUUCAGUCGCAAGUUAUGUCCCAAAAUGCGGGCUGCAUCUGCUUAUGAGAGGGAAAUGUUUGCUGUUACGGCUACAGUCAAAAAGUGGCGACAUUAUCUCUUGGGAAGGCAUUUUUUCAUUUAUACGGAUCAUCGCAGUUUAAAGGAAUUGAUAACGCAGACGAUUCAGACGCCGGCACAACAUAGGUGGUUAACUAAGCUAUUGGGUUUUGACUAUGAGAUUGUAUACACCCCGGGAAAGACCAACUUGGUCGCAGAUGCUCUAUCUCGUGUAGAUGUGCCGUCCUUGACUUACAUUCAGGCAGUUUCUGAAGCUCAACCUUUGAUGUUAGAGCAACUCCGGAUUUUUUAUGCUUCUGAUCCGGUUGGUCAACAGCUCACUCGCAAGUUUACAUCUCUGAAGCCAGAUUCACCUUUUAAGCUUCAUCAGGGUCUGUGGUUCUACAAAGGGCGUUUGUUCAUCCCAAGCGAAACUCAAUUCAGAACGCAACUCUUGCAGGAGUUUCACACCAGCCCAGUGGGAGGUCAUUCCGGUGUGAAGGGGACCUUAGCUCGUUUAACCGCUGCCUUCUCAUGGCCCAACAUGGCGAAAGAUGUGAAAAGAUGGGUGCAGGAGUGUUCCAUAUGCCAACAACAAAAGUACUCCACCCAUCGACCUUAUGGCUUGUUGAAUCCGCUGCCUAUCCCUUCUCAAGUUUGGGAGGAUAUUGCCAUGGACUUCAUUACUAAGCUUCCUCCUUCACAUGGGAAGUCUACUAUCUGGGUGGUAAUAGACCGGUUGACUAACUAUGCUCACUUUAUUGCUCUCCCCGCUCACUAUUCAGCAGUUUCCUUAGCUCCGGUGUUCAUGUCUGAGAUCUAUCGACUCCAUGGAAUGCCCAAGACUAUUGUGAGCGACCGAGACCGGGUUUUUGUCAGCCGUUUUUGGCAGGAAUUGUUCAAGCUCAAUGGAACUACACUAUGUUUCUCUAGUGCGUAUCAUCCACAGUCCGAUGGACAAACAGAAGUGACCAACAGAAUUUUACAAACUUUCCUUCGCUGUUUUGUGAGUGAUACUCCCAAACUGUGGGUUUCCAUGCUUCCUUUGGCUGAACAUUGGUAUAAUUCCUCCUAUCAAUCUGCUAUCAAGAUGACACCAUUUGAGGCUCUUUAUGGAAGACCACCUCCCAACAUGCGCUCCUAUGUCUCAGGGUCCACUGCGGUUGCCACACUAGAUGAAACACUAGCCCAACGCCAUCAGAUGUUAGCUGUGAUCAAACUUAACCUGCAAAAGGCCCAGUCCCGAAUGCGAUCACACGCCAACAAUGGCAGGAUGGACAAAGAAUUCGAAGUAGGCACUUGGGUAUGGCUGCGUUUGCAACCUUAUAGGCAGAAUAGUGUGCGUGGUGCCCGCUACUCCAAGUUCACCAAACGUUUCUUUGGUCCUUAUCAAAUUGUCAAACGUAUUGGUACUGUUGCUUAUGAACUCUUGCUGCCUCCAGAAGCCCGUAUUCACCCCGUUUUCCAUGUUUCAAAACUCAAGCAGUUUUUUGGGCAGCCACCGUCGCAAGUACCUCUGUUGGAUGACGCUGUUACAGGGACCUUGGUUCCAUUACAACCAACACAAAUUCUGGACACUCGCAAAUUGCAGACAGUUAAGGGCACGAUCAGGCAGGUUCUAGUGCGUUGGGAAGGCCUCUCACCAGCUGAGGACACUUGGGAAAACUGGAAGGAAUUGCUGAAAUCUUAUCCUCACUGCAACCUUGAGGACAAGGUCGAAUUUGAUGGGGAAGGCAGUGAUACGGAGGUGCUGAUAGAAACUAAUGUUGGGCCUGAUCAAGUGACAAGAAGCAAAAGCCCAAGACCACAAAGGAAGAGGAGCACCAUCUUGGGCACGUGAUUAUGUGGGAAUCACAACAACUUUAGAGUAAUGAAAUAUCUGCUGUAAUCCUUGGCUUAUAGCUAGUUUGUUACCAUCUUUUAUGGAUCAGGGCACAUGCGUCAAUUGAUCCCAUAGGCUAGGACAAUAGAGGACUCUUUAUAUUCCUAGGUUGUAAUAAUGACAGCAACAGAAAAUUAAUAAACUUAUCCUUUCUCUCUUAUUUUCUGGAGCUGAUACUGCUCGAAGGUAUCUUUUCUCUCUACC